RNAcentral lists this long non-coding RNA (450 nucleotides) under Pan troglodytes (chimpanzee). RNAcentral describes it as "long non-coding RNA NONPTRT016659". Lineage: Eukaryota; Metazoa; Chordata; Mammalia; Primates; Hominidae. The record is from RNAcentral.
GCGCCUCAGACCUCACCCCCAGGGUCCUGGGGCAGCACAGGGUCCUCCCUGGCCCAGGCGCCCGGUGGCCGAGAGCCUGCCCGCGAGCUCAGCGCUGCUCAACGGUCUCUGUCCUUGGCUGUGGCUCCUGCGCUCUGGCUGAGCCAUGUUCCUUCUCCUCGCCCUCCUCACUGAGCUUGGAAGGCUGCAAGCCCACGAAGGUUCUGAAGGAAUAUUUCUGCAUGUCACAGUUCCACAGAAGAUUAAGUCAAAUGACAGUGAAGUUUCAGAGAGGAAGAUGAUUUACAUCAUUACAAUUGAUGGACAACCUUACACUCUACAUCUCAGAAAACAAUCAUUCUUACCCCAGAACUUUCUGGUUUAUACAUAUAAUGAAACUGGAUCUUUGCAUUCUGAGUCUCCAUAUUUUAUGAUGCAUUGCCAUUACCAAGGAUAUGCUGCCGAAUUUCC